Molecule: ribosomal RNA, 279 nt
Filed under: uncultured bacterium
Lineage: Bacteria
Description: partial 16S ribosomal RNA
Rfam family: Bacterial small subunit ribosomal RNA
Source: RNAcentral
UACGAAGGGGGCGAGCGUUGUUCGGAUUUACUGGGCGUAAAGGGCGCGUAGGCGGCGCGAGAAGUCGAGUGUGAAAGCCCCGGGCUCAACCUGGGAAUUGCGCUCGAUACUCUAGUGCUUGAGUUCGGGAGAGGAGCGUGGAAUUCCCAGUGUAGAGGUGAAAUUCGUAGAUAUUGGGAAGAACACCGGUGGCGAAGGCGGCGCUCUGGACCGAGACUGACGCUGAGGCGCGAAAGCGUGGGGAGCAACAGGAUAGAAACCCCGGUGAGUCCAGAACCG